UGCAUAUUACACCUGUGCCGAGGUGAUAAACAACUAAAAGUCUAGUGGAUAAAAAUAGCUCUACGUCACUUGUAUGACCAUGUAAUAGUUAAGCGAAGGAUUUCCCCACGUGAUACGAUGUUUGUUUAUGUAUUGACAAACGAUUUUUACUAGAAAUAUGUGACGCUUUGAAGAACUUUACUUUAAUAUGAAUAUCCAGUUAUUACUUGUUAUUUUACUCGGGACACCUAAACUCCGCUGUGUAUGGAAUCUUUUCACUAUCGUUUUCCUCAAUGCACAAAUUGCAGUUCAUAAUGUCUAUGUCCCUGCUCAUGUUUUCUCCAUAUCGUGCAGUGCAUUAAGGUGGUGUAAUUUGGAGUAAUUUCAAUAUGGAGAGCUGGGGAGACAUUUUGUCUUAGAUCACCAGAGUCACUCAGAUGACAUAAUGUAUUUGGGAACCAUCUGUCAGUCCGUCAGUCCUUUUCUUGUCAGCGCAACUCCUCUGAGACCGCUCAACAAAAUUUCGUGAAACUAUGUAGUUAUUAAGGACACACUGUGUAAACGUGUAUACUCCCUGGAAAUUCUUAUUCAAUAAUUUUUGUAGGAAUUACGCUCCUUUUGAACUUAGAACUGAGCCCAUUUGUCCUGUUCCUGUCAGUGCAACUCCUCUCAGACCGCUCAACAUAAUUUCAUGAAACUAUGUAGUUUUUGGCAGAUAUGCACCUUUUUAACUUAGAAUUUCGAGCCCAUCCGCCCGGUUGAAGCGCGGUGUAUGCGAGCUUGCUCACCUCUGCUUUAUUUCACUCACAUAUGUACUCCUUGUGACAAGACCUUUCCUCUUGUAAAUGUUGACCUCAUGACCUUGUUUGCAAUUUACUACUUUGGCAAUAACUUUUGAACGGUUAGUGUUACCAGAAUUUACUUGUCUGUUAUACAUUACCAUCAGUGUUUCACAAACACACCUUGUCAAUCCUGUAACUAUGCAAGCGUCCCCAGGUAGCAUAUAUUCAAGUUUGUUUAAUUCACAACCUCAGACAUGGAGGUUAGUCAGGGCUAGAUAGGAGAUCAAAUACUUGUAACAGCUGUGUCAUGAUUAUUCAAACAAGCACCCUCAGGUAGAGCACAUUCAAGAGGAUUCUUUGCUUACCAGACAUCAAACGUACUACACUGGUACACCGUAAUGAGUAGAUGACCCCUAGUGCUUUUGAGGUGACAUGAUCAAAUGUCAAACUGAACAUAGACAUACAUCGUCCGCUCAAUAUCUUGAUAACCCUUUGCUUGACAGAUAUUUAUCAUGGUGCACUGGUAUAUCAUAAGGAGUAGAUGAGCCCAAUUAAUUUUGGGUUCAUAUGGUCAAGGGUUAAACUGGACAUAGUAAUAUAUUGUCUCCUAUAUUUUAAGAAUCAUUUGCUUGAUGACGCCAAAUUUGGUACACUUGUACAUCCUAAGGGAUACAUGACCCCUAUUGAUUUUAGGUCACAUAGUUAAAGGACACAUCUCGCGUUUUCAAAGUUCUCAAAAUUAUACGUAAUUUACCUUCCUUAUAUACACAGUAAUGAAUUCUAAUGGUUAGUUUGUGGACAUAAAGUGAUAAUUAGCCAAAUUAUGGCUUCAAAGCUAGGACCCGAUUGUAAAAACAUCUCGCUAAUUAGGUAGGGAGUCACGUGGUACCGUGACGUCAUAUGCGACCUUCCUCGAUCAGCUUAUAGUAAAAAUAGUGUGGAAAUCUUAAAGAACUCUGCUUUUAAUCACCAUAAUUCACCAUGGACGACAUCUGUUCCGAUUUUGAAGAAAUUCCCGAAAAUCUUCACAUUCAACCUUAUAUGUUUGAACCACCAUCGCGUUCAAAUAGGAAUGUAAAUACCCAAGAAAGUAAAGAGGAAAGCGAGGAUGAAAUCUGCAAUGAUGAGAAAAUUUAUCGCCGUCGGAACACUAUUUGGUGCGAGUGUGGGAUUUAUGAAGUGAUGGAGACCAGAACAGAAUGCAUAUGCUGUGCUGAGAUUCCAGUCAUAUAUGAGCUUCGAGAGUCGAGUGACCUUGAAUGCAUCACACAACACAGAACUUUCAUAGGCAAUUGUUUGAAUGCACGAGUACUGGAAGUCAGUCUUUAUGACUUCAUUCAAAGAUAGGGGCCUUUGGAUGACAAUGAAACCAUUAAUGAGUAAGAUAAUAUUCAAAUCUUGAUCAGUUGAAUACUCAAAUGUAAAUAAUGAUUCCUGUUUUCUUUAAUUCUGUACAAAAACAAUCACAUAAAAGUUACAAACAAUUCACAACAACAGUAUUUCCAACAACAGUCUCCAACUAACUUCACUUAGUUCAUGGCACAUAAACCAAAUCAGUUACAGCUGUAAUUGUUUUAUCGUUGACAGAACAUACAGACACAAAUCAGUUACAGCUGUAAUUGUUUUAUCGUUGACAGAACAUACAGACACAAAUCAGUUACAACUGUAACUGUUUUAUCGUUGACAGAACAUACAGACACAUUGCAUAUCGCCGGUUUGUCCUCUGGAUAUGGUAUCGACUCGGACGGAGGAAUCGUAAAGUUUUGGUACCAUGUGUUGUCACAACAAUUCGCAGGACAUUCCUAUCAGAGGAUUACACAGGAUUCCAAGCCCACUGUAUAGAACCAUAGCUCUACCGUGCACAUCUAGUACGCCUUGUAACAAUGAGCUGGUCUUUGUUGACUGCAGCAUAGCCUGAUGUAAGGGUUGGUGGUUGGUAUCCAAGAGAAGCUUUUCCAUCAGAUGAAGCUGCUGAACACGAGGGUAGCUGGAGCCUGCGUUCCACAAGAUUCAGUCGCAAGAUGUCAAUAUAAUCGGAAAAGUAUGAAACUGUUUAAAUAUGUGAUUUGAAAAUUUUUAUGUUAUGAAUCCUUUUCUGAUUGAUAUUAUCUACAUUGACCAACAGUGUUAAAACAAAUAAAAAGAUGUAGAAUUAA
Ostrea edulis (European flat oyster) is the source of this 2917-nucleotide long non-coding RNA. RefSeq lists it as uncharacterized. NCBI's taxonomy places the organism in Eukaryota, Metazoa, Mollusca, Bivalvia, Ostreida, Ostreidae. The transcript is spliced from 2 exons. The record is from RefSeq and is a predicted model, not a curated record.